UUCCGGGUAGUUCAACGCCAGAACAACGGGCUUUGACCCCGUAAAUGCGCGUUCGAGCCGCGCCCCGGAAGCCA
Molecule: transfer RNA, 74 nt
Filed under: Candidatus Gordonibacter avicola
Lineage: Bacteria; Bacillati; Actinomycetota; Coriobacteriia; Eggerthellales; Eggerthellaceae
Also listed under: 2 other names
Description: tRNA-Gln
Rfam family: tRNA
About the family: Transfer RNA (tRNA) molecules are approximately 80 nucleotides in length.
Source: RNAcentral